CAGAGAAUAUAUGUAGAUGUAUAUGUAAUAUAUACAGUAUUGUUGAGGAACACUUGGUGGAGCCUGUGGCUCCGGUUGGUAAGAAUUUACCAAAGGCAAAGAAAGUUCAAGAACAAUAGGUUUGCUGCUACAGGCAACAGUGGGCCACACAGGCAAGAGGUGCCUGUGUGUCCACCAGGUGUGAACGUGAAGGGUCUUUUAUCGGGGAAGGGGCUGUGAACACAAAGGGAUAGGGUAACAGAUUUCUGAUUGGCUGUAAGUGAGGUAAGGGGAUUAAAUCAGAAGAGCA
Non-coding RNA from Vicugna pacos (alpaca), 289 nucleotides. NCBI's taxonomy places the organism in Eukaryota, Metazoa, Chordata, Mammalia, Artiodactyla, Camelidae. The record is from RefSeq and is a predicted model, not a curated record.